CGUAGGUGGCAAGCGUUGUCCGGAUUUACUGGGCGUAAAGCGCGCGCAGGCGGAUGGUUAAGUAGGAAGUGAAAGGUUGGAGCUCAACUCCAACAUUGCUCCCUAUACUGGCCGUCUUGAGUCCCGGAGAGGAAAGCGGAACGACACGUGGAGCGGUGAAAUGCGUUGAUAUGUGUCGGAACACCAAUGGCGAAGGCAGCUUUCUGGACGGGUACUGACGCUCAGGCGCGAAAGCCGAGGUAGCGAACAGGAUUAGAUACCCUGGUAGUCUCGGCCCUAAACGAUGAUCACUAGGUGUCGGGGGGUUUCCCUCGGUGCCGCAGCUAACGCAUUAAGUGAUCCGCCUGGGGACUACGGCCGCAAGGUUG
This 368-nucleotide ribosomal RNA is filed under the name uncultured organism. RNAcentral describes it as "bacterial SSU rRNA". It matches the Rfam family "Bacterial small subunit ribosomal RNA", at positions 526 to 896 of the family's 1533-position model. The record is from RNAcentral.